UUGGUGUUUACUUUAGUGGCGGACGGGUGAGUAACACGUGAGAAUUUACCUUUAGGAGGGGAAUAACAGUUGGAAACGACUGCUAAUGCCGCAUAUCAUAUACAUAUGAAAGAAGAAAUUCGCCUAAAGAAAAGCUUGCGUCUGAUUAGCCAGUUGGUAAGGGUAAUGGCCUACCAAGGCGACGAUCAGUAGCUGGUUUGAGAGGAUGAUCAGUCACACUGGAACUGAGACACGGUCCAGACUCCUACGGGAGGCAGCAGUGGGGAAUUUUCUGCAAUGGGCGAAGCCUGACAGAGCAAUACCGCGUGAGGGAAGAAAGCCCACAGGGUUGUAAACCUCUUUUGUCAAGGAAGAAGUUCUGACGUUACUUGACGAAUAAGCAUCGGCUAACUCCGUGCCAGCAGCCGCGGUAAGACGGAGGAUGCAAGUGUUAUCCGGAAUCACUGGGCGUAAAGCGUUUGUAGGUGGUUUAGUAAGUCUAUUACUAAAGCUUGAAGCUUAACUUCAAAAGUGUAAUAGAAACUACUAGACUAGAGGAUAGUAGGGGUAAAGGGAAUUUCCAGUGGAGCGGUGAAAUGCGUAGAGAUUGGAAGGACCACCGAUGGCGAAGGCACUUUACUGGGCUAUUUCUGACACUAAGAGACGAAAGC
RNAcentral lists this ribosomal RNA (650 nucleotides) under uncultured bacterium. RNAcentral's name for it is "bacterial SSU rRNA". It matches the Rfam family "Bacterial small subunit ribosomal RNA", at positions 80 to 760 of the family's 1533-position model. The record is from RNAcentral.